RNAcentral lists this transfer RNA (67 nucleotides) under Heterobothrium okamotoi. RNAcentral describes it as "tRNA-Ala". Lineage: Eukaryota; Metazoa; Platyhelminthes; Monogenea; Mazocraeidea; Diclidophoridae. The record is from RNAcentral.
UAACAGUAUAGUUAAUUUUAACAUUGGUGUUGCAAACCAAAGAUGCUAGUUUACUAGUUAUUGUUAU